This 810-nucleotide ribosomal RNA is filed under the name Pediococcus pentosaceus. Its description in RNAcentral is "bacterial SSU rRNA". It matches the Rfam family "Bacterial small subunit ribosomal RNA", at positions 551 to 1362 of the family's 1533-position model. Lineage: Bacteria; Bacillati; Bacillota; Bacilli; Lactobacillales; Lactobacillaceae. The record is from RNAcentral.
UUAUUGGGCGUAAGCGAGCGCAGGCGGUCUUUUAAGUCUAAUGUGAAAGCCUUCGGCUCAACCGAAGAAGUGCAUUGGAAACUGGGAGACUUGAGUGCAGAAGAGGACAGUGGAACUCCAUGUGUAGCGGUGAAAUGCGUAGAUAUAUGGAAGAACACCAGUGGCGAAGGCGGCUGUCUGGUCUGCAACUGACGCUGAGGCUCGAAAGCAUGGGUAGCGAACAGGAUUAGAUACCCUGGUAGUCCAUGCCGUAAACGAUGAUUACUAAGUGUUGGAGGGUUUCCGCCCUUCAGUGCUGCAGCUAACGCAUUAAGUAAUCCGCCUGGGGAGUACGACCGCAAGGUUGAAACUCAAAAGAAUUGACGGGGGCCCGCACAAGCGGUGGAGCAUGUGGUUUAAUUCGAAGCUACGCGAAGAACCUUACCAGGUCUUGACAUCUUCUGACAGUCUAAGAGAUUAGAGGUUCCCUUCGGGGACAGAAUGACAGGUGGUGCAUGGUUGUCGUCAGCUCGUGUCGUGAGAUGUUGGGUUAAGUCCCGCAACGAGCGCAACCCUUAUUACUAGUUGCCAGCAUUAAGUUGGGCACUCUAGUGAGACUGCCGGUGACAAACCGGAGGAAGGUGGGGACGACGUCAAAUCAUCAUGCCCCUUAUGACCUGGGCUACACACGUGCUACAAUGGAUGGUACAACGAGUCGCGAGACCGCGAGGUUAAGCUAAUCUCUUAAAACCAUUCUCAGUUCGGACUGUAGGCUGCAACUCGCCUACACGAAGUCGGAAUCGCUAGUAAUCGCGGAUCAGCAUGCCGCGG